GCGGCGCUAGUGUAGUGGUAUCACGUUAGAUUCCCAAUCUCAUGACCCGGGUUCGAUUCCCGGGCGCCGCA
This 71-nucleotide transfer RNA is filed under the name Thelohanellus kitauei. RNAcentral describes it as "tRNA-Gly for anticodon CCC". It matches the Rfam family "tRNA". From Rfam's summary of the family: Transfer RNA (tRNA) molecules are approximately 80 nucleotides in length. Their secondary structure includes four short double-helical elements and three loops (D, anti-codon, and T loops). Lineage: Eukaryota; Metazoa; Cnidaria; Myxozoa; Bivalvulida; Myxobolidae. The record is from Rfam by way of RNAcentral.